This 797-nucleotide ribosomal RNA is filed under the name uncultured bacterium. Its description in RNAcentral is "bacterial SSU rRNA". It matches the Rfam family "Bacterial small subunit ribosomal RNA", at positions 8 to 796 of the family's 1533-position model. The record is from RNAcentral.
AGAGUUUGAUCAUGGCUCAGGAUGAACGCUAGCGGCAGGCUUAAUACAUGCAAGUCGUGGGGCAGCAGGUUUGUAGCAAUACAGAUGCUGGCGACCGGCAAACGGGUGCGGAACACGUACACAACCUUCCUUCAAGUGGGGAAUAGCCCAGGGAAACUUGGAUUAAUACCCCGUAACAUUAUGAAGUGGCAUCACUUUAUAAUUAUAGCUCCGGCGCUUGAUGAUGGGUGUGCGCCUGAUUAGGUAGUUGGCGGGGUAACGGCCCACCAAGCCUGCGAUCAGUAACUGGUGUGAGAGCACGACCAGUCACACGGGCACUGAGACACGGGCCCGACUCCUACGGGAGGCAGCAGUAAGGAAUAUUGGUCAAUGGACGCAAGUCUGAACCAGCCAUGCCGCGUGGAGGAUGAAGGUCCUCUGGAUUGUAAACUUCUUUUAUCUGGGAAGAAAUCUACUUUUUCUAAAGUGGUUGACGGUACCAGAUGAAUAAGCACCGGCUAACUCCGUGCCAGCAGCCGCGGUAAUACGGAGGGUGCAAGCGUUAUCCGGAUUCACUGGGUUUAAAGGGUGCGUAGGUGGGUUGAUAAGUCAGUGGUGAAAUCUCCGAGCUUAACUUGGAAACUGCCAUUGAUACUAUCAGUCUUGAAUGCCGUGGAGGUUAGUAGAAUAUGUCAUGUAGCGGUGAAAUGCUUAGAUAUGACAUAGAAUACCCAUUGCGAAGGCAGCUGACUACACGGAAAUUGACACUGAGGCACGAAAGCGUGGGGAUCAAACAGGAUUAGAUACCCUAGUAGUCC